This 250-nucleotide ribosomal RNA is filed under the name uncultured bacterium. RNAcentral describes it as "partial 16S ribosomal RNA". It matches the Rfam family "Bacterial small subunit ribosomal RNA", at positions 524 to 773 of the family's 1533-position model. The record is from RNAcentral.
UACAGAGGGUGCAAGCGUUAAUCGGAUUUACUGGGCGUAAAGGGCGCGUAGGUGGUAGCGUAAGUGAGUUGUGAAAUCCCCGGGCUUAACCUGGGAACUGCAACUUAUACUGUGUUACUUGAGUGCAAUAGAGGGUAGUGGAAUUUCCGGUGUAGCGGUGAAAUGCGUAGAUAUCGGAAGGAACACCAGUGGCGAAGGCGGCUACCUGGAUUGACACUGACACUGAGGCGCGAGAGCGUGGGGAGCAAAC